GGAACAGAAGAAAGGGAAGUAGAUU
RNAcentral lists this non-coding RNA (25 nucleotides) under Cricetulus griseus (Chinese hamster). The record is from RNAcentral. Lineage: Eukaryota; Metazoa; Chordata; Mammalia; Rodentia; Cricetidae.